CUCGAUUAUACUUUGGUGGACCGCAUCUAGGAAGGACGAAAGUCAAGGGCCACCAUCAAUGCUCCAAGGAUAGCCACCAACCAUGCUCCAAAUCAAGCAUGCCCUCAAGCAACGUAACAGGGCAUGUUUCAUCGACUCGUCUCUAGCCUGCAAAUUAGAUAGACAACCGAAAGCUCCAUGCCUCUAUCUUUGAGAAGUAUCCGAGUCAGCAGUCGAUCUCAAGCUACCUUCUAGAAGAAAAGUCUAACCCUCAAGUGGACAACCGUGUGCC
This 271-nucleotide long non-coding RNA is filed under the name Elaeis guineensis (African oil palm). Its description in RNAcentral is "long non-coding RNA (EGUI_LNC026912)". The record is from RNAcentral. Lineage: Eukaryota; Viridiplantae; Streptophyta; Magnoliopsida; Arecales; Arecaceae.